UUAGGAAUAUUGGACAAUGGGCGCAAGCCUGAUCCAGCCAUGCCGCGUGAACGAUGAAGGCCUUCGGGUUGUAAAGUUCUUUAGCCGAUGAUUAUAAUGACUGUAGUCGGAAAAUAAGCCCCGGCUAACUUCGUGCCAGCAGCCGCGGUAAUACGAAGGGGGCGAGCGUUAUUCGGAAUCACUGGGCGUAAAGCGUGCGUAGGCGGUCUUGUAAGUUAGGAGUGAAAGCCCAGGGCUUAACCUUGGAAUUGCUCUUAAAACUGCAAGGCUAGAAUCUCGGAGAGGAUAGCGGAAUUUCCAGUGUAGCAGUGAAAUGCGUAGAUAUUGGAAGGAACACCAGUGGCGUAAGCGGCUAUCUGGACGAGUAUUGACGCUGAGGCACGAAAGCGUGGGGAUCAAA
Molecule: ribosomal RNA, 400 nt
Filed under: uncultured bacterium
Lineage: Bacteria
Description: bacterial SSU rRNA
Rfam family: Bacterial small subunit ribosomal RNA
Source: RNAcentral